GACUCAGUGGUGUAGUGGCAAACAUGCCUGCUCAGAUUACAUGCUAUUCAAAUUCAGUGGGAGAUCCCUGUUUGACUCAGGGCUGGGUUA
Molecule: non-coding RNA, 90 nt
Organism: Mycena rebaudengoi
Lineage: Eukaryota; Fungi; Basidiomycota; Agaricomycetes; Agaricales; Mycenaceae
Source: the annotation of a GenBank genome assembly